GCACCAACAAGAGGGUGGUCGGCGCGGACGCCAAGUCCGGUGGGAAGUACCUUGACUUUGAGUUCUUUUAGAGUUUGCGCCUUAGCGGCAGACCUUUUGUUUGCAUACUGUUGGUGUUGUUGGGUCAGUGUGGUGUUGUGAUUUCUACGGUGCUGUUUAUGUCAGUCACCGCUGUUACAAAUUUCUUGCAUCUGAUCUGGCCAAGAUUAGCUAGUAGUGUGUUUGAUCUCCAUAUCCUGAUGGAAAUAGCCUGUCUCUGUUUCUAAACAUGUUUUGCGUGCUACAGAUUUUGCAUUGCAGAAACACUCUGAAGAGUGGCAUCUUCGGGGUUUUGCGCCAUCACUAGGGCAAACAGGCAUUCUGACUGACCAGUUCCCCUCGUAUUGGUUACACCCCCACCCUGUUGUUUAUUUCCUGGCUGUAGAAUUAAAGAAUAUAAUUGUAGCUAUGGUAUGUAUGUUUAUUUCGGUGAGUUAUCCCUUUCACAAAGAAACAGGAGAUGCAACGAAUGAUCU
This 515-nucleotide long non-coding RNA is filed under the name Triticum aestivum (bread wheat). RNAcentral's name for it is "long non-coding RNA (TAES_LNC022885)". The record is from RNAcentral. Lineage: Eukaryota; Viridiplantae; Streptophyta; Magnoliopsida; Poales; Poaceae.